This 497-nucleotide ribosomal RNA is filed under the name uncultured bacterium. RNAcentral describes it as "partial 16S ribosomal RNA". It matches the Rfam family "Bacterial small subunit ribosomal RNA", at positions 28 to 507 of the family's 1533-position model. The record is from RNAcentral.
GAUGAACGCUGGCAGCGUGCCUAAUACAUGCAAGUCGAGCGAACGGACGAGAAGCUUGCUUCUCUGAUGUUAGCGGCGGACGGGUGAGUAACACGUGGAUAACCUACCUAUAAGACUGGGAUAACUUCGGGAAACCGGAGCUAAUACCGGAUAAUAUUUUGAACCGCAUGGUUCAAAAGUGAAAGACGGUCUUGCUGUCACUUAUAGAUGGAUCCGCGCUGCAUUAGCUAGUUGGUAAGGUAACGGCUUACCAAGGCAACGAUGCAUAGCCGACCUGAGGGGGUGAUCGGCCACACUGGAACUGAGACACGGUCCAGACUCCUACGGGAGGCAGCAGUAGGGAAUCUUCCGCAAUGGGCGAAAGCCUGACGGAGCAACGCCGCGUGAGUGAUGAAGGUCUUCGGAUCGUAAAACUCUGUUAUUAGGGAAGAACAUAUGUGUAAGUAACUGUGCACAUCUUGACGGUACCUAAUCAGAAAGCCACGGCUAACUACGUG